UCCUCAGCAGAGUGAAACUUCAUAUAUAAUAUUUUCUACAGACAAAGUUACCAUCAACAUCAACAGCAACAACACGGCAACAGCCAACAUUUACAGAACUUUUAAUAAGUUCCAGUCACCGUAUGUGCCUGCUUCCCCUUUGCCUUCCACCAUCAUUAUAAGUUUCCUGAGGCCACCACAGCCAUGCUUCCUGUACAGACUGUGGGACUCCAUGUAAGAUGUUCCUGCUUCCCCUUUGCCUUCUACCAUGAUUGUAACUUUCCUGAGGCCUUCCCAGCCAUGCUUCUUGUACAGCCUGCAGAACUGUGAGUCAAUUAAACCUCUUUUCUUUAUAAAUUACUCAGUCUCAAGUAGUUAUUUAUAGGAAUAUGAGAACAGACUAAUACAACCUCUUUUGUGGAGGUGUGGACAUUUUAAUUUGCCAUGCUUCUGAUUUACUGCAUUGUAGGUCAUGUUGAUUUCAAUAAAAAAUUCAUUUAGUAUUUACAUGUUAGCAUAAUGACGUUAAAAUUUCCUUAGAGAUAUAAUUAUUAACUUGUUUUUUUUAUAUAUCCUUGAAUCAGAAGCAUGAAAGGUACCUAACACGACUGCAUUAACUAACCUUUUUGUAACUAUAUGUUUAUUGGGAUACUUUGUUGGCCUACAAAAUGAAACUUUUGUUGCUGAAAAACUAGAGCUAUUUUAAAACAUUAUUUUUAUCAUUAUGUUCUUAAAUUUUAGUAUUGUCUGUCUAAUCUGGAAAUGUUAUUUAUAUUAAACCAUUUAUUUCUGUUUUUUGUGCUAUUUUUAUAUUACAUUUUUGG
Molecule: long non-coding RNA, 803 nt
Organism: Pan troglodytes (chimpanzee)
Lineage: Eukaryota; Metazoa; Chordata; Mammalia; Primates; Hominidae
Exons: 3
Source: RefSeq, a predicted model, not a curated record